This 429-nucleotide ribosomal RNA is filed under the name uncultured bacterium. Its description in RNAcentral is "bacterial SSU rRNA". It matches the Rfam family "Bacterial small subunit ribosomal RNA", at positions 355 to 775 of the family's 1533-position model. The record is from RNAcentral.
UGGGGAAUAUUGGGCAAUGGGCGCAAGCCUGACCCAGCGACGCCGCGUGGGUGAUGAAGGCCUUCGGGUUGUAAAGCCCUGUCAUGUGGAAAGAACAGUCUCGUGGUGAAUAUCCACGGGAUUUGACGGUACCACAGGAGGAAGCACCGGCUAACUCCGUGCCAGCAGCCGCGGUAAUACGGAGGGUGCAAGCGUUGUUCGGAAUUAUUGGGCGUAAAGGGCGCGUAGGCGGUUGUGAAAGUCAGAUGUGAAAUACUUCGGCUCAACUGAAGAACUGCAUCUGAAACUUCAUAACUCGAGUACAGGAGAGGGAAACGGAAUUCCCGGUGUAGAGGUGAAAUUCGUAGAUAUCGGGAGGAACACCAGUGGCGAAGGCGGUUUCCUGGCCUGAUACUGACGCUGAGGCGCGAAAGCGUGGGGAGCAAACAG